RNAcentral lists this long non-coding RNA (1144 nucleotides) under Salvator merianae (Argentine black and white tegu). RNAcentral describes it as "lncRNA (ENSSMRG00000001634.1)". Lineage: Eukaryota; Metazoa; Chordata; Lepidosauria; Squamata; Teiidae. The record is from RNAcentral.
AGGCGCGCACACAAUAGCAGUCCCAAGAUCUCGCCACCAGGCUGCUUGACGCCUCUCUGCGGCUGCUGUUCACAACUGGGUGCUGUUCUGGCUAGGGCUGCAUGCGAGUCAACCCCCCCGCAAGAAUCUUAAAAAAAAAAAAGACCAAGGUUAGGGGGAGCCAAGCCUCCCACUUUCUCCCCCCCCCUCCGCUUCCUCCCUUCUCUGGAGUCUCCAGCGCAGCCUGCUAGGGCGUCUGUUCCGGGUAGAGGCGGCAGCUGCUGCUGUUGCGUCCUCGGCUGCUUUGCAUUUGAAAAUCCAGCCCCGCCGCCGCCGCCGUCCUGCUCCAGCAGCAGCCCGCCCCGUCCCGCUCCCAACCAACUCUUUCUUCCCUGCUGGCUGCUGCAGCUGCAACGGCCGGAGGAGGAGGAGGAGGAAGGUGUUUGUGUCCUUGGGGCUGCAGCGGCCAGGCAUCCAGGGGCGCUCUCGCUCUUCUGCAAAAACUCUUGAACUGCUGCAGAAGAAAGAGAAGAAGCAAGCAGUUGCCGCCGCCGCCGCGGUGCAUCUUGCAAGCAGGUGAGAUCUUCACUUGAAAAUGCAAAGAGGACGUUGCUGCGUUGGAGACAACUACGGAUAUGGGCUGUUGGUGUUAAGGCACCCAGGGAUGAAACCUUAGAGAAACCCAGGUCAUCUUCUGCUUUUGGUCNGUGCACCCCGCCCCCUGUAAAAAAACAUUGUAAUCAGUAUUUUAAGGCCAGGGAUAAUAGAUAUCUAUAGUGCAAUCCUAACUACAGUAUUCAGAAGUAAAUUCAUUUGCGUUCAGAGGCGUUUAUUCUUAGGAGAGCAAAGUGAGAACUGCACCUUUUAAUGCUGGCAAUGCUAAAAAUAUUUUUCUCUGUUGGGGGUACCUCCCAUUGAAAUCAGUAGGCUUCUUUCUGAGUAGAGUAGUCCUUAAUGAACCAUAGGGCAACAAUUUAAGGACCACAGGAAGUGAUCUUUCCUAGUACAGUUUUACAUGCAAUACUAAUGUCACUUUGCUAGGAGUAAGUAUCAUUUAGUCCUGUAGAAUUUACUUCAGAGUAGAUACAGGAUUGCAAUGCCAGCUGUAAACUGUGUGAUUCAGCUCUGGAUUGCUCAUUAAUAAAAUAAAUGUUUUACUUUUGCA